RNAcentral lists this ribosomal RNA (429 nucleotides) under Amblyomma dissimile (iguana tick). RNAcentral's name for it is "partial large subunit ribosomal RNA". The record is from RNAcentral. Lineage: Eukaryota; Metazoa; Arthropoda; Arachnida; Ixodida; Ixodidae.
UUUUAAAUUGCUGUGGUAUUUUGACUAUACAAAGGUAUUGUAAUAAGACUUUAAUUGAGUGCUAAAAGAAUGGAAUUACAAAAAAAGGCUUUUUUAAUUUUAAAAAUUAAAAUUAUUUUUUUUUGUGAAGAAACAAAAAUUUAAAUUAAAGACAAGAAGACCCUAAGAAUUUUUUUUUUUAUUAAAAUAAUAUUUUAUUUUAAAAAUUUAAUUGGGGCGAUUAAUUAAUAUUAAAAACUUUAUUAACAAAAAAAAUGAUCCAUUAUUAAUGAUUAUUUGAUUAAAAUACUCUAGGGAUAACAGCGUAAUAAUUUUUGAUAGUUCUUAUAGAAAAAAUAGUUUGCGACCUCGAUGUUGGAUUAGGAUUCUUUUUUAAUGAAGAAGUUAAAAAAAGAAGUUUGUUCAACUUUUAAAUUCCUACUUGAUCUG